GGCCGUGUGGUGUAGUGGUAGCAUACUUGCUUUGGGAAGACUUUCACAGCUGCUGCAAGUGGUCCCAGGUUCGAGCCCUGGCUCGGCCC
This 89-nucleotide transfer RNA is filed under the name Podospora comata. It matches the Rfam family "tRNA". Rfam says of the family: Transfer RNA (tRNA) molecules are approximately 80 nucleotides in length. Their secondary structure includes four short double-helical elements and three loops (D, anti-codon, and T loops). The record is from RNAcentral. Lineage: Eukaryota; Fungi; Ascomycota; Sordariomycetes; Sordariales; Podosporaceae.